RNAcentral lists this long non-coding RNA (4403 nucleotides) under Meleagris gallopavo (turkey). Its description in RNAcentral is "lncRNA (ENSMGAG00000020840.1)". Lineage: Eukaryota; Metazoa; Chordata; Aves; Galliformes; Phasianidae. The record is from RNAcentral.
GCCGCACUGCGCGGCGAUACCGCCGAGGUCCCCGCCCUGCUGUGCGCAUGCACCGCAGAUCAGCCUCCAUAGGCGCGGCGGCGCCGCGGAGCAUCCUGGGAUAUGUAGUGCGCGGCAGCGCUCGGCGGGAGUUGUAGUCCCCGCCUAAGGGGGAGGUGGGCCGCAGGCAGGCGGGGUGCCGGGCGUGUGAUUAGAUAAACACGGUGGUCUCCUACUCAGAAAAAAAAAACAACAGUACAGUCAGAAAGAGGAAGGAUAUGCACAAUAAUUAUGCACAAUAAAUAUGCACAAUAAUUAUGACAACAUAGAAUGUGACAUGCUGCUUGUGCCUCGUGCCAGCAGCACCAUUUGAGCAGAGCCCCACACUGCCCACUUUCAUUGCAGGGGAGUUGGACCCGGUGACCUUUAAAAGUCCCUUCCAACUCCAACGAUUCUAUGAUUGCUGCCACGUGACAGAGUUUUCAGCAGUGGUUAUGAAACGUGAGCAGUGAUGCUGCAGCCAUUUUGUCCCUGGGGAACUGAGGCAGGCAGUGUAUAAGUCACUGUGGUAUGGAAUGCAGUGGUGAUGGCACAACCUGUCUCACAGAGAGCUGUGCUACUGGCUGCAGUCUGCCUUGGAAAGAAUUCAUUGUUUGGGCGCGUGAAGAUUCCUCUGCUGCACUUCUCCUCUUGGUUCAGCUUUGCCAAGCUCUGUUCCUGUUUUUCUGAGUGGAGUAUUAUUUUCUGGAACCCCCGUCUUCAUCCUUUCUCUUGGAAGGAGAUUUACCAGGAAACAGCAGAUCUUCCACUCUUGCUAAAACCAGCUCCACUGGUUGUAGGAGUAGCUUUGAUGGGUUGUGUAAGAAAAGGAUUGCUGGGUCAUCUCCAGCUCACCAAGCUGAUGGUGGUGCUGGCAUCUGCUUUCCAUGCAGUCUGUCAUCGCAGAGGUGACAAAUGUUGACAGCUGUUUGCCGUCGGGCUCAUCUCCAUACCAUGCUCAUCUCCAGUGAGAAGUUCUCUGAGUCAGCCAGGUGGCUUUGCGUUUUGGAGGCAGAGUGUAUAUUUCCAUGGUAAUUUGGCUGGAUUUUUGUUCCCCCUGCUAUCUGGAAUGGCAGCAUUUCCAAAAGGUACAUUGGGCACUCUGGAUUUUAUUAUUGUUAUUCUGUACGUUGUUGGGCUAUGAAAUUCUUCAGUCCUUUUUGCUUUCGGACUGCUUGCAAUUCUGAUAUUAAUAAUGAAAAUGUGGCUGGUUCUGUCAGACCUACUCUGUCCCAGGGAGAAGAUAACAGGAGUGAUUUAAUUCUUUGAAUUAUUUGGUAGGCUCAUUGCACUCUUAGAAACGUCUGAAAGCAACUGUAACGGCAUGGGCCAUGUGCACGACCUCAGUACAAUGAAAAUACAUCCUCAGAUGUUAAAUAAUGCGUGAGGAACAACUGCACGCUGGGAUGAAUUAAGGUUAGAAGGGAGCAAGACAGGAUGAUGCUGGGAAAAAAAGAUAAAUAUUUGAUGGCAGGGAAGAUGCACAUCUCUCAUUUUAAUAGAGGUUAGUUAAGGUUUUGUUUAAAGAAACUAAGUGUGGUGCUGGUAGCUUCUGGGGAACCCCAGAGUGCCGGCUCCUGCCCAGGGGAAAGCCGGGCACCAGCCGCCCCCGAGCUGCUGGAAUUGAGAGCCUCAGCACUGUAGAACUGCCCGCUUACUGAGAAAUCAAGGCUGUGAUAGGGAGCCAAUUUAUUCCACAAAAUGAAAGAGCUGAGAUAAGGAAGAACAAAGGACAAAAGGAAAGAAAGGCAGAAAAUAAUGAUGGCUAACGAUUAUAUGACUAACCAACACCCCCGCAAUGAUUAAACAUUAAACUCCCACAAGCUAAGUAAACACAAAAAUACCCUCCAAAUUCCCCAAAGGCUUUGUCUUCUUAGCGGCAAGGGCUGAACUUGAGAGAAGAGCAUAGCACGUGGUGCCUAUGGCUCCCAUACAACCCCUGUAGGCGCUCAUCAGAGUCCCCCUUUCACGGCUGGUUUCUAGCCCAAAAAAGCAACAUGGUGGUAUUUUUCUCCCUGAAGGAGUAAUUUGGGGUCACGCAUCCUUAGCAUUGGAGGUUUCAAGGCAGCGGCUUCCCAUGCAGCGCCAGCAUUGCAGCACGCACGGGCACGCCAGGGCAAGUAGUGCUCAAGCAUGUCCUCCUUGCCAGGCUCCUUGCUUACAGAAAACUUCACCUUCCCACCUCCCCUUUGGUGUGCAGCCAUGUUUGUGUUGCAGGCUGGAAGCGGGGGCAGCAGGAGGUGCUGAAUGGUGAUUCAGAGCUGCUCUGAGGUGGUUUUUCCUGUGGAUGGCAAUGAGUCGCCGCAAGGAAGAGGGGAUGAGUUGUUGGCAGAGGGGCUGGGUCCGGGGGAACACCUCCUGGAAGUGCUGCAACACCAUUCCCAGUCACCUUUAGGCACAUGGAAGAGGUACACAGGGAUGCCUGGCUGCUGUGUGUUGGCAAAUACACCAGCUUGGUUAAAGUUGCGCCAAAAAUCCAGGUGGGCAGAAGGUCAGAUGUGCCAAAGUGAUUUCCGCUUGCAAAGUCUGAAAAUAGUUCACUCCUAAAGCUCACCUCCAUCACUUAGAACAAAACAGAAUCAAACUGUUACAUGUAAUAUAAUAAAUGUUCAUUUCUUUCAAUGCUGCAAGAAAGAGGGCAGACCCACGUGGUACUGAAAGUUUGCCCCACGCAAAAGUGGAGCUGUGCACAGUGGGACUGUUUGUCAGCAGAGCAAAAGUCAUGGCUAGACAGAUGCAAGCAAUUGUGUUAUUGUGGCUAAUAAGUUAAUUCAGCCCCAAGGAAGGCAAGUUUAUACAUAGAUAUGUAGAUAUAUACACAUAUAUAUGGAUACAUGUGUGUAUAUGUGUGUGGGUAGGUAUAUAUGUAUGUGUAUGUAUGUGUGUAUAUCUAUUUUCUUAUGUUUCCAGUAGGCUGUGGCCUGCUUGCAGCUAGGAAAUAUGGCUCAGUGAGUGAGGAGUGGUGUAGAAAGCUCAACUGGUUGGACAAAUGUCUGUGCAAAUGACAACAGCGUGCUAAAGACUGUUUUAAGGCAUAGAAAUGUGGGGAACCAAAGAGGUUGGCUGGCAGGAGAAAAGUAAAUGAGAAUAAGAGGAUAGAGGAGCAAAGAAGAGAAUAGGAAUGAAUGUUAGAGGAGUUUAAAAAAAGGGAAUUACGGAACAGACAUAACAUCAGGGGAGAUUACAGGGAGAAAGCAGACUGAGUUGACCUCUUUCCGAUGGCAGUGGUGAAACAAAAUCCAUUAUUGGUACCUCUAGUGAUUGUGUAGCUCACAGCUUGGCAAAUCCAGCCUGGCACAGCCAAAGGCAGAGAGCCGGGUGCUGCUGCUCUGCUGUUUUGCUUCCUUGGACGGAGGCCGUGACAUUGCUAUUUUCCACUAGACUGCUCAGCUGUCUGUUUACAAACAGAGCAGCGUCUCCCACAUCUGUCUGCAUUCUCCUUGCAGCUACAUCAUGUUCUCUGCAAGUUCCCACACUGCACGCUGCCCUUUACAGGACGGUAACUGAGCUGGUGCCCGUCAAACACCGUCCAGCUUAGCUCACCUAACAAAACAGAAGGGCAAACUCGCACCUGAUGAAAGCUGUCUUAGCUGUGACAUCAUGUUUUGCUAGUUUGAGCAACCAAUUUGAGAAGGUUGAAGAGGAAUAAAGAGAUGACACAGUAGGAUAUUUCUGGAAAUGUCUAGAUUUCUACAAAUACUGAUGAAAUCAUAACCAGAACGAAGUGCAGCUGUGCAGGGAAGAGGCACCUCUUGUUUCACCUCUGUCCUCAGGCCAAAAGGAGCCCAGCCUGGUUGGAGAAGAGAUGUGGCUGCUCAGCAUCACAGCACCCAAAGCAGCCUUAGUUCUUCUUUAACCUUGGGUUAUGAGUAUGAAGAAUCAUAGAACAGCUCAAGUUGGAAAGGACCUAAGAGAUCAUCCAAGCCCUGCGCUGGGCUGGGUGCCCCCCAGCAGGGUGCACAGGGCCCAUCCGUGGCCUUGGGCACCUCCAGACGUGGGGCAUCCACACUUCUCUGGGCAAUCCUGCAUGUGAACUCGGGAGCAUUCUGCCUACAGGAGUUACCUGCUAGAGGACAUCCCCAAAUGUUUUACAUUUCCUAAACUACACCGGUGUUGUAAUUACACAAAUAACCAAACAGAGGUUUUAUUAGGAACUGUUUAGACUUACAUACUCAGCCACCUGUUAUCUGCUAAAAUGUUGGCAGAAAUGAUUGUUUUAAUUCCCUCUUGGAGUUGUGAUUUAGUGCAAGCAUGCUGCCUUUUUGUUCAUGAGCAAAAAAUAAAUCUUAUGCUGAAAUGAGCAUGUGGUAUUUGGCACAGUGUUCUCUUGACCCCAGAAUUACCACAAAACGUGUAUUUUAAUGUUGACAGUAAAUGUGUUUACA